RNAcentral lists this non-coding RNA (26 nucleotides) under Homo sapiens (human). The record is from RNAcentral. Lineage: Eukaryota; Metazoa; Chordata; Mammalia; Primates; Hominidae.
UGCCCAUGGUGAUCUGAGAUAUUCCA